This 72-nucleotide transfer RNA is filed under the name Ailuropoda melanoleuca (giant panda). It matches the Rfam family "tRNA". From Rfam's summary of the family: Transfer RNA (tRNA) molecules are approximately 80 nucleotides in length. Their secondary structure includes four short double-helical elements and three loops (D, anti-codon, and T loops). Further hydrogen bonds mediate the characteristic L-shaped molecular structure. tRNAs have two regions of fundamental functional importance: the anti-codon, which is responsible for specific mRNA codon recognition, and the 3' end, to which the tRNAs corresponding amino acid is attached (by aminoacyl-tRNA synthetases). tRNAs cope with the degeneracy of the genetic code in two manners: having more than one tRNA (with a specific anti-codon) for a particular amino acid; and 'wobble' base-pairing, i.e. permitting non-standard base-pairing at the 3rd anti-codon position. Lineage: Eukaryota; Metazoa; Chordata; Mammalia; Carnivora; Ursidae. The record is from Rfam by way of RNAcentral.
GCCUGGCUGGCUUAAUCAGUAGAGCAUGUGACUCUUGAUCUCAGGGUUGUGGUUAAAGCUCCAUGUUGGGUG